ACUCCUACGGGAGGCAGCAGUGGGAAUAUUGGGACAAUGGGCGCAAGCCUGAUCCAGCCAUGCCGCGUGAGUGAUGAAGGCCCUAGGGUUGUAAAGCUCUUUCACCGGUGAAGAUAAUGACGGUAACCGGAGAAGAAGCUCCGGCUAACUUCGUGCCAGCAGCCGCGGUAAUACGAAGGGAGCUAGCGUUGUUCGGAAUUACUGGGCGUAAAGCGCACGUAGGCGGACUGUUAAGUCGGGGGUGAAAUCCCGGGGCUC
Molecule: ribosomal RNA, 258 nt
Filed under: uncultured bacterium
Lineage: Bacteria
Description: partial 16S ribosomal RNA
Rfam family: Bacterial small subunit ribosomal RNA
Source: RNAcentral